This 628-nucleotide ribosomal RNA is filed under the name Zonosaurus trilineatus. Its description in RNAcentral is "partial 12S ribosomal RNA". The stretch from base 1 to 480 matches the Rfam family "Bacterial small subunit ribosomal RNA", at positions 856 to 1533 of the family's 1533-position model. Lineage: Eukaryota; Metazoa; Chordata; Lepidosauria; Squamata; Gerrhosauridae. The record is from RNAcentral.
UAUACUUACUAUUCGCCAGAAUACUACAAGCAAAACGCUUGAAACUCAAAGGACUUGGUGGUGUCCCAUAUCACCCUAGAGGAGCCUGUCCUAUAAUCGAUACUCCACGUUAAACCUCACCACCUUUGGCCACUACAGCCUAUAUACCGCCGUCGCCAGCCUACCCUAUGAAGGUCCUAUAGUAGGCAAAAUAGCUCACACUAAAACGUCAGGUCAAGGUGUAGCUUAUAAGGUGGAAGAGAUGGGCUACAUUUUCUAAAUUAGAAAACACGAACAAUGCAAUGAAACCUUGCAUUAGAAGGAGGAUUUAGCAGUAAAAUAAAAAGAAAGACCAUUUUAAACAAGCCCUGGGACGCGCACACACCGCCCGUCACCCUCAUCAACAACCGCAACAACUAACAUAUAACCAAACUCACCACAAGAUGAGGCAAGUCGUAACAUGGUAAGCGUACUGGAAAGUGUGCUUGGACUAACAAAAAGUAGCUUAAAACUAAAGCAUUCAGCUUACAAUUGAAAAAUGUUAUACACAAACCUUUUUGAGCCUACACCAAAGCCCAACCAACCUAACAUCCAAACCAACACACAUAACAAACAAACCAUUUGAUAAAAAUAGUAUCUGAGAAAGAAC